This 1926-nucleotide long non-coding RNA is filed under the name Olea europaea subsp. europaea. Lineage: Eukaryota; Viridiplantae; Streptophyta; Magnoliopsida; Lamiales; Oleaceae. The record is from RNAcentral.
UAUGCAUUUAUCACAAUCGCAGAACAUUAUAGUAACAAAUCACAAAUUUUUUAGAUCACAACUUAUUUAUUGAUCACAAAUUUAUCAAAUAAUUGGUCACGACUUAUUUCUCGAACACAAAUUAUCAAAUUAAUUGCUUACAACUUAUUUCUCGAUUACUAAUUAUCAAAUUAAUUUGUUACAACUUAUUUCUCGAUCAUAAUUUAUCAAAUCAAUUUGUCACAAUUACCCAAUUAAAUAGUCACAAAUUGCCAUUUAUUUUUCCCAUCCACCCCUUGUACCACCUCUAGCAUCACCUAAGACGUUACCGUCACAUCAAAUUCACCUACCACAUCCAUCACAAACACCUACAUCAAACAACCAUCGUCACUUCACCACCACUACAACCGCAUUACAACACACAUAAAUCAGCGUCGUUUACAUACACAGAUCUACACUCAUACAUACAAAUAGAUACACUUACUCAAAAUUUGGCCCCACGCCGCAAACAUACACACAAAUAAGUACACAUACACAGAUCGCCCACCAUCGUUAUAUGGAGAAUGACCAUACACACAAAUCAUUACACAAGAAGCAGCGACUCACACAUGCACAGCUAAAUACAAUGGAAGCAAUAGCGCUCAUCGCUACUUGUAAUAGCGGGAUGGGUGGUGUCAUUCCGACAACAGCGCUUGUCGUCACUGUGCAUGCGCACAACAACAACUGCGUGCAAGAGAGAGACUUCCUUUUGGAUACAAAAAGAAUAAUUUAAUUUAAUUUAAUUUUGCAAUAUCACAUAGGCGCUUUUCAUUAUUAUCAAAUAGGAAUGAGUUUAUCACAAUCACUUCACUGAAUUUCAAUUUAUUAUCAAAUUUCAUCCAACUGUAUCCCAAUAUUGAUGAAAGUUACUUAAUUCAUAAUCAUACUGUGAUGGAUCUUUCAUGUAAUUGUUGGGUGGGUAAGUGCACCUAGCACAAUCCUAUAACCUACCUUUUAAUCAUACAUAACACAACAUCCAUGUGAAAAACUAAAAAAAAACGUAAAAUCAUUUCUCAGUCCUUCAUGUACCGGCUUUAGCAUAUUCCUAUAUCAACAACAACAAUACAAACAGCGAAAAUAGAAUAGAAAGGAAAAAUGUUAAUUUUUUUGGGACCAAAAAUAUUGAAGAAAUAUCAAUGUACAAGAGGGGGAAAAAAAUCUAAUAAUAAAAAUGUCAGUAUCUCGAUUAUAAAAAAUUACGAAGUCCAUAUUUAAAAUAAGUCCAUCUCAAAUAACACAGCAUAAACGAUUAAAUAUAAGCUACACAAGAAAGAUUUUAAAAAACGAAUAUCUAAAAAACAAAAAUAAAACUUAGAUGUCAAUUCCUGGACAUGAGAAAAAAGUCCAAAAAAGUAGAUCUUGAUAUAAUGAAAUGAAUCAAAAAUUGAGAAUACACAACUCAUCAAUCUACAGAAUAAACAAUUUAUUUGAAAGAAUCGACUAAAAAGUAAAAUAAGAACAAACCAAACAAUGACUGAAAGAAAUCAUAAGUAAAAACUCGACGAACAAAUGAUAGUUGUGGCUUACAAUCGAAAAAAUACACAAUCACCCAUCGAAACUGCGCUUCAUUUUCUCGAAAGAAAUCAAUUCUUGAACUUGAGGCAAAAAAAUCAAUAUCAGAUUUUUAUACUGCGAAAUAAAUAAAAAUCAAGAGCACAUAACUCAUUAAUCUACAAAAGACAAUUAAUUCUACAGAAAUCAACCGAAAAAAUAAUAAAAAUAGACGAAGCAAAAACUCAGAAAAGGUAGAGGCAAAAACUCAAAGAAGACAGUGCAUAACAUCGACAGAUGUACCUACCAUCUCUGAUGGUUUAAGAAUUCCAAGAGCAAAAAGAAAUCGCCAAAGAAGAGAAGUGAGAAGAGCAAUGGCGCCAAGGUUAGAGAGAGAGAAAAAAAAAAUAAAAAAAA